UACAGAGGGUGCAAGCGUUAAUCGGAUUUACUGGGCGUAAAGCGCGCGUAGGUGGUUUGAUCAGUCGGAUGUGAAAGCCCCGGGCUUAACCUGGGAAUUGCAUUCGAUACUGUCUGACUAGAGUUUAGUAGAGGAAGGUAGAAUUCCAGGUGUAGCGGUGAAAUGCGUAGAGAUCUGGAGGAAUACCAGUGGCGAAGGCGGCCUUCUGGACUAAAACUGACACUGAGGUGCGAAAGCGUGGGUAGCAAACAGG
RNAcentral lists this ribosomal RNA (253 nucleotides) under uncultured bacterium. RNAcentral's name for it is "partial 16S ribosomal RNA". It matches the Rfam family "Bacterial small subunit ribosomal RNA", at positions 524 to 776 of the family's 1533-position model. The record is from RNAcentral.